GUUGGUGCAAAAGUAAUUGCGGUUUUUGCCCUUGAACGUAAUGACAGAAACUGCAAAUACUUUUGUAGCAAU
Molecule: microRNA precursor, 72 nt
Organism: Colobus angolensis palliatus
Lineage: Eukaryota; Metazoa; Chordata; Mammalia; Primates; Cercopithecidae
Source: Ensembl